This is a long non-coding RNA of Magnolia sinica, 2283 nucleotides long. RefSeq lists it as uncharacterized. The record is from RefSeq and is a predicted model, not a curated record. NCBI's taxonomy places the organism in Eukaryota, Viridiplantae, Streptophyta, Magnoliopsida, Magnoliales, Magnoliaceae. The transcript has 4 exons.
UAUUCCUAAUGUAAGUUUGAAAUUUGAAUAAUUUCCUUUAAUUCAUGAAUCGGGAUUGGAUUGGAAUUGUAUGGCAGUGAUGUAUGUCUCUGGUUUCUUUUUAUUUAAGUUUAGGUCAUGGUGAUUAUUAAUUUCCAUUUUGGCAUGAGAAGGGUGCCUGAGCUAAAUUUAUACAAGUUUAUGUGAGAGAACAGUGAUAUCAAAAGCUGAGUAUUCUUAUAUGGAUGUGAUUUGCUAAAGACUAUCUAUCAACAAAUAAAUUUAAUAUGUUUGCAUUUACUUCCUGUUGUGUUUCUACUCAUGACAUUAUUGCUUGUUUUGUGGAAUGAUUUAUAUAUUUCUAAAAUGGAUCAAAGAACUUGGUGUUUUCGCCAUUCAUUUGCACAAGCUUUAUCACUAUUGAUCUGAUUCAAGAAUAAUUUUCAUGUAUUUCACCUUUGCUUCCUCUUCUUGUAAGCAAACACGCAUAUAAGCUAUAAUCUGUAUUCUUUUUGAAUCUUAUCACUCCUUUACAGAAAAUACUCUCAUGAUGUCAAUUUCCAGCACCUGGAGCUGUGAUAAUGCUUUGUUUUACCUUCCUAUAAAUGCAAAACACCAUUAAUUUCUGCUUCCUCGCGGAUUUCUACUUAUUUGUCUUCAGUCAUGAGUUUCCUUUCCAAGUUCAUCCAUUGGCUCAUAUGCAUACAACAUUUAUUUUGCCAGCAAUGUGGAUUCUAAAAGGAUGAAUUUGUCUCUCACUAUUCAAUUUUCUAUAUUAUGAACGGUUUUGUACAAAUAAUGUUAUGGUUUCAGUUCAAUAGGCUUGCUAUUGUUUUUCCUGCAACUACAUCAUUUGGUUGGUAAGAAAAUUAUAGUCCAGUAAUUGUGAUUAGUGCAUCAUAGAGGACUCAAAUCUGCUUUUUUAUUUUAUUUUUCCUUAGGUGCUUGACAAACAAGAUCGUGAAACUGUGCAUAUCCUAGCCAAGUGGCACAAGGCUUAGCAACUGCAACGGUUCUUGCCACUGCAGCAGUGAAUGGAUUGGCAUUAAUCAUGUAUUUUAUUUUAUGUGAGAGCAAAGAUUUUCUUAGGUUCAUGCAUCGGAUAGGUGCAGCUGCAGGAAGGAGUUGGAAUGUUAUAACAUAGCAUUGGCCAUUGUUUGUCUGGGCUAUGUGAAACUGAGUUGUGAAUUAGUCAGCAUGGCUCCUGGGACUGGGAGUAGCAUUUGCAAGGAAGUCCUUGAAUCCCAAGCUGCAGAUCAUGAGUUAUCCAUUGCAAGUGAUGAAUUGGAAAAAUUCCGGCUAACUAAGCCUACUAUUGCUCCUAGCAUUAAAGGAGGUGUAUCUUCCACUACUGGUGUGAAUGAGCUUCGUAAGUGCCCUGUCUGUACAAACUCAAUGUACCCUUCCAUACACCAGUCUACGGGGCCUUUGGCAACCUGCAAGGGAGUGGUAGUUUCUCUGCAUUUGGUGGUAGCAAUGCCAUGGGAAUUGAAAAACCAUCCAACCUUUUCACGCAGAUGAGAAGAUAGAAAGUCUCCAACAAGAUUUGCAGUUGAAAACCAGGUUUACCCAUCCUGUUUGGUGGACGUUGAAAGGGACCACUUAGCCUUAAGCAAGCAAUAUCCAAAAUUAUCAAUAUCCCCGGAAUUCACCGAGGUAUGACUUUUCUUAUUUCAGUUGCUGCUCGCAAGUCACAGCUAUCUUACUUGUCUUGAAUUUAGGCUGAAGUGUGUACUCAGUAUGUAUUGUAAUGGAUCUUCUCAAUUUUCCUUAGAUUGUCCUGCACUGGCCAAAGGGAAACCUGAAUCUGUCAUUGCACACUCCUAUCAGGUAUCUUCUCUUUUUUGAAAAAAUGCCUUGUUUCAAGAUUACCAUGGACUCAAAACUUUCAGACAGGACCUGACUCUCAUAUGAAUAGUUCAGUGCAUUCCCAACCAACAUCAAGGAGCUCAAUGCUCAUCAAGAAACUAGGAUGUAUUUCUUGUGGUUAUUUCAUUUUAUUGUGCUAACUUAAAUUUGAAUUAUCCAUAGUUUUCUGCAUCAAUUUUGGUCGAUUUGUAAUUAUCGAUGUCAUUUUCUGUGGCCUAGAUUAUCAUAUUUCAAUUGGAGUAGAGUUUUUGGUGGAUCUGAUGCACGCUUACCCAUCGAUGUCCCACCACUUCCACCUUCAUCUGAUGCCCCACCACCUCCGCCUUCAUCUUUGUGAUUUUUUGUAUUUUAUUUAUGAUUUAUUUUAUAUACGAAUGUUAAACUUAUAUGUAUUUGUGCGUGGAUGAAUGUGAUGUGGAUAAGAUUAUUUGUGUA